CUCAAGCAGGCACUGAAAAGAACGAAUUUAAGCAAUCUAUUUUGACUCACAACAGACUUACAAUAUUUUGUUGACACUUGACAUGUUUAUUCUUUUAGCAAAAUUAUAAUCAUGUUUUAAUAUUUCCUGCAUGCAAUUAGCAGCUUUAUUCAAGAGACAACGAUGGCAUAUGAGUCCAGAAGAUAAGACCAACUAUGGCUUUCUGAAAUGAGUUGCUCCUGUCUCAGAAGGCUAUGUGUUACAGAUGUGAAAGGAUAAAUUCACCCCUGUGGUUGAUAUUUAUGGGAAUGCAAGGUGACAGCUGGAAUCUCAAAGACCUCCUGGAGCCUCACAGGGUGUUGCCAAUCAUCUUGGAAAUACACAGUCAUUUUCCAGGAAAGUUUUGUUUUCUAAAAAAAUCAGUCCAUCUACUCUGUUCAGAUGCUGUUGUGACCCCAUCUCUGAGUGAGUGUGGGCGGUUGGGGUGGAGUAGGUCAGGUUGGUCCCCUAUUCUGCCGCCCACUGACAGUUUUUCUUCUCUUCCUCAGGGAGCCAACCUUGCCCUUCGGGGCCUUUAUGCCAAACAAGCCUACAUUGUCUGCAUCAAAAGGACAGAAGAUUACAGAAUAAAAACAGAAAAAGGAGAAGAAGCAAUGAUUGAAAAGAAAAGCCACCUAUAUCCUCCUGCUAAGUUUCCCUUGAGAAGAAUGAGCAAAAUGAGCUCUAUAGCCUCAUAACCAUGGAAGGGAUUUCCUGUACAAUGUUCACAACUUUGGCAAGGUAAUGAUUAAGGCCUUACAACUUCUUAUAAAAUUUCUGGAAAGAUGGAAAUUACAUGGUUAGCUUUUA
RNAcentral lists this long non-coding RNA (828 nucleotides) under Vulpes vulpes (red fox). Its description in RNAcentral is "lncRNA (ENSVVUG00000022140.1)". Lineage: Eukaryota; Metazoa; Chordata; Mammalia; Carnivora; Canidae. The record is from RNAcentral.